Molecule: ribosomal RNA, 376 nt
Filed under: uncultured bacterium
Lineage: Bacteria
Description: bacterial SSU rRNA
Rfam family: Bacterial small subunit ribosomal RNA
Source: RNAcentral
UACGGAGGGCGCAAGCGUUGUUCGGAAUCAUUGGGCGUAAAGCGCGUGUAGGUGGCUUGGCAAGUCGGGUGUGAAAUCCCGGGGCUCAACCCCGGAACUGCAUUCGAUACUGCCUCGCUAGAGUCCCGGAGAGGAGGGCGGAAUUCCCGGUGUAGAGGUGAAAUUCGUAGAUAUCGGGAGGAACACCAGUGGCGAAGGCGGCCCUCUGGACGGUGACUGACACUGAGAUGCGAAAGCGUGGGGAGCAAACAGGAUUAGAUACCCUGGUAGUCCACGCUGUAAACGUUGGGUGCUAGGUGUCGCGGGUAUUGACCCCUGCGGUGCCGACGCUAACGCAUUUAGCACCCCGCCUGGGGAGUACGGUCGCAAGGCUAAA